RNAcentral lists this unclassified non-coding RNA (2021 nucleotides) under Aplysia californica (California sea hare). RNAcentral describes it as "uncharacterized LOC101864310, transcript variant X3". The record is from RNAcentral. Lineage: Eukaryota; Metazoa; Mollusca; Gastropoda; Aplysiida; Aplysiidae.
AACCGGAAGCCAGCUGGUGAUCAAAAUAUGAAAAUAUUGUGAAUGGAAAGCAUUCUUUUAUUUGAAAGCGAAAGUUUAAAAGAUUUUAGUUUUUAAUUAUUUUCUGACUUUUGUUUGUGUUAAAGCUGGGUACACUGGAACAAAGAUCCAAUACAUCGGUCACAGAAUCAAACAGACGAAGGACGUGUUAUUUCGGACUGGCAGGCCCACCAGAAAAAUGUCGAGAGAGUCAAAGCUCAAGGGAAGCAAAAUUCCCCGUUACACAGGUUGGCAGAAGGCCACACCACAGGCAUCCCAAGCCAGACUUGUCGCCACUGAUUCUAAGAUCACAAAUAAGAAGGACAGGUCGGACGAAAUCCCAAAAUGCCGGAGACAGAUACUGAAGGAUGAAACUUUUGAGAAAGAUAUGAAAGGUUUGAAAUUUGAACCUGAUGAAGAAUCUUUAAAGAGUAUCCUUAACAACCAAGGAAUAAGGCCAGUCACUGAUGAACGCAGGAAUACUACAUCAGCUUCGGGACACAGAUGUUCUGUGUACUACCAGCCGUCCUCGUCACGGAUGUCGCUCAUAGAGUCUCAGGCUGCGUUUAAGAAGAACAUGCAACUUCACAUGGAAGUGAUGAGGAAGUUGAAUAUAGGAACACCAGCACCCAAGAAACAGCAAGAUGCACAAAAGUCAGAGAAUAGUGGUAGUACUCACAAGAGACCUUGCUCUGUGUACUUUUCCCUGAAGGCAAAGCUUGAAAUGACACCCCCUACAAGGACUUCCAACAGUCUCCAAAACACUCCUAAAACCAAUGAUCGUAGAACGGGUUUCCCUAGAAACUGCCUCACGGAAAUAAAGGAAAAUGUGAUCAGCAACAAAUUGUCAGAAAGACUUUUAAGUGAAGAAAAGAAGCUGAGCUUGUGUGAUAGACAUAAGUCUGAACUGCAUAGGUUCACACUCUGUGACAGACAUUUGAAUGAGCAGCAGAAUCUCAGUAUGAAGGACAGAGGGGCUGACAGUGUUACAGGGAAGAUGAAUAAAACUGAAUCUGAGGGUGACACAACUACCGAAAAAAUUCCUGGCAGUUCUGUUUUACGGAAAGAUGUGGCAACUUCUCUCGCUCCUCUUAAUGAGGAAAAUGAAUUUGCUGAUGACAGGUCUACGCAUGAAAUACUCAAUCCAGCUGUGGUUAGUAUGAAUGACGCGAGUGCCUCAAGCGUAACUCACCUAGUGUGGUCGAGCCAGAGAACAGUCUGUACGCCAACCAACUCUGUGUCGACUGUUAUGGCCAACUCUGGUGAUUUUUCUCGGGUCAGAGAGUACCCACAUGGCUCUACAUCUGCCUCAAUGGUCUCUGGCACCCCCCACAGGCUUGACUUUGGGGAAGAAAUGCCAGGGGCUGCGGCAUCAUCGUCUGCGAACGUUGCACAAAAUGUGACGCCUCGCCAGAGAGUGCUGAAUGGUACCGAGUGUGUGAACGGUGUGUGUAGGACUCCUGUUACUCGAGGCAAUAGCUUAAACACAAUCCAUGGUCUCAGACGAGGGGCCGGUACUCCGACUUUCCAAGCCUGGACGCCUUCCCCUGCCCCAGCCCGCGUGACUAGCGUGUCAAAAGGAGGGAUGGGAGGGCUGCCUGGACGAACGCCCGUACUCUCUUCCUGUCUGAAGAAAAAGCUCUCCCUUGAUUUUGUCUCCAGGUUGGCCAGACGAUACAGCAAGGGACACAAUCCACCACAAAGAAGAAACUGCGAUGGUUAGACGUAUCAAGCCAGUAGUUUACAGACAGGUUCCUGUGAACAGAAGCUUUGGGAACCAGUCAAGAAUACCUUUAUUUGAUACUUGAAUUGGAAUGUCGCUCCUGAGGGUAUUGUUGGUUGUCGAGUGACCGGAUUCGUCCAUCGAAGAGAAUAAGCUGAGCUAAACAAAAUGGAGUACCGGCUCAAGACGUCGGCGGGAGAAGCUGCUGUAGGAUGUCAUAGUUUUUGGCUGAGCCUGAAUAAAGUGAGAAUAGAGGACAACUCAUGACUACUACUUGACA